RNAcentral lists this long non-coding RNA (955 nucleotides) under Equus caballus (horse). RNAcentral's name for it is "lncRNA (ENSECAG00000030343.3)". The record is from RNAcentral. Lineage: Eukaryota; Metazoa; Chordata; Mammalia; Perissodactyla; Equidae.
UUCCCUCUGGACACCUCCUGUACCCAAAGGGGCAGGGAGCAUGACCACCUGACAUACAGUCUGUUCCACAUGUUUGGGUCAGUCUGUAUAUUAAAUAUCAGUACAAUUUAAACUCUAUCUUAUUUUUAGAGUUACAAUAUAGAAGUGGUUGUUGUUUUUCCCAUCUAGUGGAUUUUUUGUGGACCCCUUGAUGCCAUUCAUUAGAGACCACUGGGGAGCCCACGAGCCUUUGGAGUCAAAAGAAAGAAAAAACAAAGAACUUAGAAGACUGACUUAACCUCUCUGAGCUUCAUUUUAUUCUUCUUUAAGAUGCCCAUCGCCCAUCUGUUUGUGGAAUAGCAAGUGGGAGAUGAUGCAGUGUGGCUGCAUCAUGACUGCUGCUCUCCUUGCUUGGCGUUGACACCUUGUGCCCUGAUGGAGCCCCACACAAACCAACCUUUAAUGUAUCUGCAACCGCUGUUAGGAGUUGGGUUGUGGUCUCCCAAAUCUCCAUCUUCUUGAUGUGGCAAGAUUGAAAGUGGUACUGGAAGUAGUGAUAUUUUUCAACAACUCCUGAAGGCUCAGUUGAAAGCUUGAUUCUCCAGUCCUUUCAGUUAUGUUGUAAUUCAGAGAAGGCUUCUUUAAGGUAAGUGAAGAACAGAGGGACAAGGAAUGGACUGUGCAAAGGCCCUGUGACAGAGGGAGAAUGACAAGAAAGAGGGACUGAAAGCAGUCCAAGGUGACAGCAGCAGAGAAACUGCAGGAAAUCACGGUGUGGGCUGAUGCUAAAGACGUGUGUGGUGGACCAACCACGCCAAGUCCUGAGAGCCACUGAAAAUUUUCCUUGGGACAUUAGACUUUCCGGUUUGCCUCUGUCUCCUGCACUGGACUGUGAACUACACGAGGGCAGAUACUAGGUCUUAGUUAGUAAAGCUCCUGCAGGCAAUCAAGUUUCUGGCAUGGCAGCCACUCAAAU